This 595-nucleotide ribosomal RNA is filed under the name uncultured bacterium. RNAcentral describes it as "bacterial SSU rRNA". It matches the Rfam family "Bacterial small subunit ribosomal RNA", at positions 338 to 1533 of the family's 1533-position model. The record is from RNAcentral.
CCUACGGGAGGCAGCAGUAGGGAAUAUUGGUCAAUGGGCGAAAGCCUGAACCAGCAACGCCGCGUGCGCGAUGAAGGCCUUCGGGUCGUAAAGCGCUUUUGGGAGGGAUGAAAAUGACAGUACCUCCCGAAUAAGGAUCGGCUAACUACGUGCCAGCAGCCGCGGUAAGACGUAGGAUCCAAGCGUUAUCCGGAAUUACUGGGCGUAAAGGGCGUGUAGGAGGUUGGGCAAGUCGGCCAUGAAAGCUCCCGGCUCAACUGGGAGAGGCUGGUCGAUACUGCCUGGCUAGAGGGCAAGAGAGGGAGGUGGAAUUCCCGGUGUAGUGGUGAAAUGCGUAGAUAUCGGGAGGAGCACCAGUGGCGAAGGCGGCCUCCUGGCUUGUACCUGACUCUGAAACGCGAAAGCAUGGGUAGCAAACAGGAUUAGAAACCCUGGUAGUCCAUGCAUAACGAUGUCACUAGGUGUCGGCGAAGUAAAUUAGUCGGUGCGACGCUACGACGUUAGUUAGUACGCCUCGAGACGUACGAUCGCGAGAUAAACUUAAAUAGAGUUAGACGGUCGUGAGAGUUGUCCGAGGACGACGACGAGGGAGAGG